AAUAUGUUAUUUUCACUCUGCAACUGAAAUAACAUUAAAAUUUCAUUGAGCAAUCAUGAUUAAAAAUAUGGAAAAGGGUCUAAAUUAUCCCUAUUAUUUGGUAAAUAAUUUAUUUUUAUCUUUUGUGUAUCUAUCCGUCAAAAAAUAUAUACUACAUUAUUUUUAUUAAUAAAAUUGCCCUUUAUAUUAAUGUGCUGACAUAUUUUUCUAGGCCCCGUGACUCUUCCAUUCAAAAAUUACAUAUGGGUAUAACCCGACCUAUUUGUUAUUCAGGUUAAAAAUUAAAUGUAUUCCCCCUCUUGAUUCUACCAACGUGGCUCCUUACCCUAUUUCUCCUCCAUCACCUCCAACCAUGUAAAUAUCCAUCACACCUUCUUCUCGCAAUAAAGAUAUCUUUACCUGUAAUUUUGAAAAAUUAAAGAAGCAAAAUUUAAGUGUUCAAAUUGUAAUAGAAAAGUGAGGAUUACAAAGACACAUACAAAAUAUUCUUACACAAAGAAUCUGUAGGGAAAGAUUUGCGUUUUCUGUUAACAUGGGUCCUUAAACCUACUAAAAGCUUUGAAAAUGGUGAAUGAAUAAACUUACUUUUUUCCGAAAAAAUAAUUAGAAAAAGAACAUGGAGAAACCAUGACGGUUACCAUACAAAUUCAAUUAUUUUCUUCUGUUGCUCUCUUGCUUCAUGCCGCUUUUUGUGGUAGCAACUUCGAAAAAUUUCAAGCUAAUAUUUUCCGGUAAAUCAAAAUUUCUAGCCACGGCUCCAAUUUCUGAAACACAAGAGAAUAAGGGUUUGACUACAUUAAUAAAAUCAAUUAAUUAGCCUGCAACCCGUAUUCAAGACCACCACACUCAAAGACCCAAUCUUCCUUGGCUACUUUCUCAAAUAAGGUGAUGAUUUAGCCUUUUCAUUCAAAAAUGGACUUGGUUGCAAGUGACAAUAAGAAACAAAACGAAGGGAGAAAGUAGUUGGCGGAAAAGGUGUGUAACGGUUGAGGAG
Molecule: long non-coding RNA, 994 nt
Filed under: Nicotiana benthamiana
Lineage: Eukaryota; Viridiplantae; Streptophyta; Magnoliopsida; Solanales; Solanaceae
Description: long non-coding RNA (NBEN_LNC041731)
Source: RNAcentral